CCCACAUAUAAAGUAGAGGAAGAUGGACACGACGUUAGCUCGGGGCCAGGCUUCCUCAGCAAAAAAAAGAGGAGGACUGGCAGUAGUUAGCUCAGGGCUAAUCUUCCUCAAAACAACAACAACAACAACAAAAACAAAAGAAAAAAAAAGGAGAGAGAAAGGAGUUGUAAUAGUUUCUUUCUGUAGCCCAGCGUUCACCCAUCUGCAUGCCUUAUAUAAAAGGAAAGCAGGCUCAGAUCCAGGUUUUGUGGAACUUGGGACUGUUACAAUUUCUGAGGAGAGGAAACUAAGAAAAAGAAUACAAACAAAGUCUUACUUUUGCAACUUCUACAAACUCUGUGACCCUAGGAACACGGCUAGAGCGGUCCCAAGUGGAGGGGAAGAGGACCCUGCGGGGGAUCUCGCAUCUCCCGCAUGGAGGUGGGAGAAGCGCCUUCAGCAAUUUGAGGAGGCUGCUCCUGAAAACGAGCAAGCUUGGGAAAGAGGGCUCUUUUGCAAAAGAUUGCUUAGUGGACUGGAAUUUAAAUUUCCUUCGCGGAUUGGGUCCUCUUCACCGGGCCUUCACUCUUAGAAAAGCCUGCCUUCUGUGCUAAACUGUUCAAAAAACAAUCCGGGCAGCACUGGGGCUGGGAGCUCUGGAGCUGAUAAGGAGCGAGCUCAAAGGUUUAGAUAACAUCACAGCCAUUCACGCUGGCCGUCUUUUCUCUUCCCUCCUAAAACUGAGGGCUGGAGUCUUGGGUAGCAGGGCUCGCGGCUCGAGAAGAAGGAAGCAUAGAUUUUUGGUAAAGAACAGUCUGGACUUAUUAAAGACGGUCACACUGCUUCGGCCCGGUCAGGGGGGCCCAUUCUCCCUCUUCCUUGCAGGCGAGAAAUUUGAGAUGAAACUGGUCUUGCAGAAAUCUCAGCUGUCUCCCUUUUAAGGCAUUGUUUUCAAUGUAAGAGGGCAAAGGAAAACCCAAGAAAAGGCCGAGGCUAAUAGAGGACGUCGAGGGCCUGAAAACACUGCAAUCAAGGGGAGAGCCGGGGGCGCCGAAUUGAAGCAGGGGAAAUAAAGCUUCCACUGGGGGCCUGAACGUGCUGGCAAGUGGCAAUGCCCGAGAGAGUCUAUUUUUAAAGAAUCACAGAUCCAUUCCUGCCCUCAGCUCCUUACUCCACCUGCGCGCCAGGCGGGGCGCCCGCCUCCAGGCCCCUGCGGCCCCCUCCGGCCUGAUACUGCAUAACACGCCUCGGGUAUAUCGCGCUGCAGCGCCGCGCUCCUCGUUCACCCGAACCUGUAGGGCAGCAGCAUCCUGUCCACCCGGACUCCCCUGGGGACUGCGCAGGAGAAAGGGGCAAGAAAACUCUUUGAAACACAAACAACCGAUUCACAGUAAGGCGGGCGCCGUGUUUACCCACCCGAAGCCAGGCAGCCACGUGACUGGUGGAGGCCACGUGACAAGUUCACGUACGGCCAGGUUACUGGUUGACAGGGGCCACGUGAUUGGCUGACGUUCUGCCCUGUGAUUGGCUGAAUUGCUUCACGUGACUGGUUACGUCCUUCAGUUGGACGCUGCGAGGGGAGGACGGUGGCGGAGGCGAGAAGGCGCAGACGUGCGUGGGGCCGAGUGGCUGCUGGUUGGAGCCGCCGUGAGGGCAGGAGGAGGUCCAGCACCAGUCCCGGCUCCCUGGGGUGGGGAACCCCACAGCCCGUGCCCUCCUCUUGGCCCUUCCUGGGCGGCCGGCCGGCGUCUUCUUCCGGGGCAGGUCUGAGCCGCUUGGGGCGCUGGGAGCCGGCCCCGGGGAAAUGAAGAAGCGGGUUAUUGGUGAGAGGAAGCCCGCGGUGCGGACAGACCUGCUGGAAAGCGGGAGCGUCGAGGGAACUUUAUCGAAUUCGUGUCCAAAAUGAGCUCCAGAAGUGAAGAUGUGUCCAGAAUUCGCUCAGAUAGCGGGAAACUUCGCCUUGGUUUAAUCGGACACGUGGCUCUGCGGAGGGAGACGGCGUGUGUUAGUCCCGAGACCCUGCGACGCGGGGCGGCCACAUGGCGCUGUGGGGCCGGCGGGGAGCGGGGACGCCUUCCCGGCCUCUGCCUCUGAGCAGGCCAGGUCAGGAGCAGAGGGCGGCGGGUCCCCACGUUUACCGCACGGUAACCGUCCGGCUGAGAACUCGCUGUCUUGGCGCAGCCUCCGUGCCCUCGGCCACGUCUGCCACCUGAGUUGCCGCUGCUGAGCCGCGUGCCUGUGAGUGCGCGGCUUGCACCCCGGAGUCCCAGCUUCCUGGUAAAUGUGUUGUAUGUGUAUGUGUAAACUCCUGCCGGGGCCCCACCCACAGUUGGGUUUAGCGAAGGAGCCGGGAGCCUGUCAUUUAGGCUCCGCUGCCACCUGGUGGCCGCACGCCUGGAUUUAACUCCAGCGUUUAUUUUUAUGGUUCUGUUUUUUGAAAGAGAAGCAAGUCUCCUGUAAACGUUGAAGAUGUGAACCCUCAGUUAUGAAGCGUGGAAACACACGGCAGGAGAAGGGAAGCAGUGAGGGUCAGGUCAGGACGGGGAAGUUGGACAGUUUCCACGGCUUUCUGAUUUUGGGCUUCCUAGGACUGCAGUCACCUCUUUGAAAUGUUUGAAUUCCCAAGGUAUCAGAGGCCCCCAAAAUAAAAGGACCACAUCGUAUACCAAAGACGAGAUGUCAACUAUUGGUGUUAUCUAUCAUUAGUUUUACUCUUUUUCUCCAUGUGGAUGUCAAGUUACUUUCAGUGAGCCCGUUUAUUACGUUUAAAAUGAAAUGCAGACGACACUGACCUAAUGCCACACGUUCACCCUUGAACUCUGGCCCUUGCUCUGGACAAGUCUGGAGGAAACCAGCUCUGAGCAGAAGUAACCCAGCAAAGGAGAGAAUACUUCUUCCUACUCCAGAAAGGAAGGAACAAGACAAAGAUGCCUGCUUUGACCUCUGCUAUUCAGCAUUAUGUUGGAAGUUUCAGCCAGAGCAGGUAGGCAAGAAAACAGAAACAAAAGACAUCCCGAUUGGAAAAGAAAAAGUAAAGCUGUCUUUACUGCAGAUUACACGAUCCUAUAUAGAAAAUCCUAAAGAACCCCAAACAAAACCCUACCAGAGGUGAGAAACAAAUUCAGGAAAGUUGCAAGGUACAAGAUCACACGCAAAAACCAGUUAUAAUUCCAUACACCACCAAUGAACAAUUCGAAAAAGAAAUUAAGAAAACAAUUGCACUUAUAAUAGCAUCAAAAAGAAUACAAUACUUAGGAAUAAAUUUAACCAAAGAGGUGACAGAUUUGUACACUGAAAACUACAAAACAUUGCUGAAAGAAAUUUAGGAAGACCUAAGUAAAUGGAAAGAUGUUGUGCAUCCACGGACUGAAAGGCUUAAUAUUGUUAAGAUGACAAAGCUACCUACAAAUUCAAAUGCAGUCCCUAACAAAGUUCCAACGGCAUUGCAAGGGACCUUGAAUAGCCAAAACAGUCUUGAAAAAGAACACAGUUGGAGGACUCACACUUUCUGAUUUCAAAACUUUCUACAAAGCUACCGUAGUCAAAACAGUGUGGUACUGGCAUAAGGAUAUUAUUAUUAUCCCAUUUUGUAGAUGAGAAAGUUGAGGCACAGAGAAGUUCUACACCUUGCCAAGAUCACACAGUGGCAGAGCCAGGACUUGGACCCAGGUAGUUUGGCUGUAGAACCUGUACUCUCCAGUCAGUGCUGAAGGUGGUGGUUCUCAAACUUGAGUGAGCGUCAGAAUCACCCGGUGGGCUUGUUGAGACGUAGACUCCUGGGCCCCACCUCACAGACUCUGAUACAGUAGAUGUGGGGUGGGGCUUAAGUUUGUGUUUUCAACAAGUUCCCAGGUGACACUGACCCUGCUGGUGUGGAAUCCAGUCUUUGAGAACCACUUACGUAAACUGUGUUGUGGUGCCUGAGGAGAGAGCACCACAGCCUGACAGAGGUCCAGGGUUCCCAGCCCAGAACCAGCGGCGAAGCGAGUGGGGCCCAGCUGGCUGGAGAGCCGGUGAAGGAGACCCCUGCCUGAGAAGCAGCCUCCAAAUGCGCUGCUCUAGAGGGACUUGAGAGAAAGUUCCUUUCCUCACCAUAUCCCAGAGGAGACCCCAGAGAGGGACAGUGGACAAUGGUGGACACCUGCUUCACUGCAGUAAUGGCCCUGGGAGGUGGUUAUUAUUAUCGUGUAUUAUAAACAAACAAAACAAUCAAGUCUCUGACAAAAGAAAUGAUGGCGCACAGUGACACCAGAUCCUUUGUCUUCAAAGCCAGCGCCUUUCGCUACUGGUCUUCCACCUCUUUACGACCAUGAGGGGCAAAAGACAAAGACCCAGAUUGAGAAAGGGAGGCCUCCAGGCUGUUUACAGGAGAAACUGACGUGGGAGAGAGCUGGCAUCAGUUGUAAAAACAGCAUGUGGUCUUUGCUGCCCAUGAAAUAUAGUACACAAGGAAAUUGAGCCUUUUGUUGGAAAGAGUCAAGGAAAAUGAAAAUAGUACCUGGGUCCUGUUCUUCCUGUUUCCUGUGUGUUUCCGAAAGCCCUUCCUUGUCUGUGGAGUUGAGACCUGCAGCAUUCAGUCCCGGUGGUGGGUGCUGGGGUGGGGGUGGGAGGUGGAACGGAUGGGAGGCCUUGGCUCGCCAACACUCAGGCCUUAAGAAGGUGCGAAUUGGCCAGAAAGGCCAAUUCCAUGGGCACCAUUAAUCUCUGGGAUGCCCAACCGGAUUUAAAUCUUAGGAGAUCAGAUUUAAAUCCACUUAAUAGCUGUAUGCUUCUGGGAGAAUUAUUUAACCCUUUUAAGCCUCACUGUCUUCAUGAAAGCAUCAAGGGUAAAAUAGUGCUUGCUCCAUAGACACGCUGUGAGGAUUAGAUAAGAUAACGUGUUCAGUGCAGUGCCUCCUGCACGGAAGGUAACGUUCUCUUUUAUGAAUGUCAGCAGGUGCUCACUGAGCACUCACUGUUCCUGUGUGUGCUUGAAGUGGAAGGAGCCCUCAGGUACCACGAGAGAUGGGGCAGGGCUGAGACAACUUCCCCCAGGACCUAGGCUGGAAAAUCACCAGUCACAAGUAUUGUAUUUGAAUGGGAAGCUCUUUACAGUAAAUGGAGCCAUCCAGAGGUGCUCCCACAUGGAAGUAUCCAGCACUAUCGCAAGGUUUAUAAAGUUCAAAGUGUAGCAUUUCACAGGGUUAAUUGCACUGCAGCAUUUGAUCCAACAUUUGGAGCCAUACUGUAGGCUCCACCUGGGGACCAGGUGUUGGAUGCGUUGGAGACAUUGCUAGAAGAAUCAGCUAUUGAUCAAGGGUUAGAUACUCAGUGCAUUGGGAGUUUAUUUGUAGAUAAAACAGUGAGGUUUUCUUCUCACGCUGCUGAAAAUACAUAACAACUGGAGCCAGACCCCCAAUCAAACCUGGAAUAAAAACCUGCAAGCAUCUUCACUAGCACAAGAGGAGUUGUAAUGCAAAUCUUGGCCCCCCUUGUCUGGGUCCUCCUCUCUCUAUUCUCUCCCAAGCUAGAGGGAGGUAAUAGAAUAAUGUAACAGUUCCUUGUGACUGGCGAGUGUAGUCUCAGUACUAUUUAGCAUAGCAGAGAUGCUCUGUUAAGACAGAGUUGUAUUAUUUUAUUUAUUCUGGGUUUCCAUAAAACUAUGUAAAGAAAUGGACAAGGCCCAUAUUUGAACCAGUAGGUAAAGCCUUAAGAAUGUACAACAUGCAUGUGUGUGUGACUGUGCUUAUGUGUUAGAGAAACAGAGUGAAUAGGACAAAAGAAGGGGGUAACUGGUUUAAUAAGGGACAUUUGCAAAGAGAAUUCUAAGUGCUCAAGCCCAAUAUUUCCUUCUGACCACUGACCAUCCCUUGGGUCUUCCUUGGACAUCUCCACUGUGGUGUGCCUUCACACAGCAUUCACGGUCCUGUGGGCUCUCGCCUCCUUGCCUGUCAGUUCCCACUGUUACCUGCUUUUCCAUCACACCAAACCUUUAAUGGUUUCCUGGGAGAGGCACAGCCCGCACAUCAUCACUCCUUUUCUGUGCUUUCCUCUCUGCCUGGAAAGUCCCUCUUCAUUUCUCUGUCUCUGUAGCACUUGUCACAUGGGACCUAUUUCCUCUUCACCCUGAACUAAGCAGGGAGACCAUUGAGGGCCUGGACAGUGUCAUGGUUAUCCUUGGAUACUUGGUACCUAGUAGAUAAAUACCCCAAAAGCACUUAGGACAAGAGGGCUAGCAGGACUGCUGGGGGCUUCUCCUCAUUCUGUUCAGCCAUAGUCUCAGUUCACGGGAGAGCAGGCUCCUGGGUGGUUCACCCGUACCGUUUUGCCAACAUAGACAAAGUUCUUAACUAAUAUUUCUGAAUUCAAGAAAUUACUUAAGCACCUCAGAUAGUGCCUGGAAUAAGGUAGAGACCUGAUAAACAUAGAACCAAUGAAUGAAGAAAAGCCAACCAGUGAAACAGCAAUCACACUCAUCACCAAAUGGAAUUUUUUCUUUUUCUAUGUUAAAUCACCUCCUUCAAGGUGGCUGACUUCAUGAUGCAUUGCAAAUCUCAGCCUUCAAAAUAAAGUGCUAAACUUCGAGGUAGCAUUUUGGAAAAGCUGACUUUUAUAUUUGUGCAGGGUUAUAUGUUUAAGUACAUUGAGUUUCAAAUUAGAAAAAAAAAACCAAUAUGAAUAAACAAAUAGUGCAGUAGUGCAAUCCUUAGUGUGACUGCCAUCAAGAUAUUGACCUGAGAAUUAGGCUGAAUGCACAUUGUCAACUAUAAUAUGUUACAUCCUUGCUGAUCAUAUGAUCCAGAAAAGAACUGUGGCACAGGAAAACAAGUUACUUCUCUUGGCAAAUCUGAAAUUUCAUAUCCUCCAAGAUAUACUUUAAUACUUUUCCCUGUAAGAAACAAAUCUGAUUGAAAUCUUUCUUGACCCUAUGGAGUUGUAACCUACUGGAGAAAGUUGACCUACUUUUUAUGUGAUUCUGUACUACCACUUCUUUAGAAGAUGAUCUGUGCCAGAUAAGAAAGGUAUUUCUGUACUAAUCCACUUGUGCUCCAAGACAUUCUUUAAAAUAAGGGUAAGUCUUUGGUUUAGGAAGAGGAGACAAAAAUAGUUCAUCAAAACAAAACAUGAAACAUCUUCUGUAACUUCACUACUUAUUAAUAACUUGCAUUUUUUGGCCAGGUUAUUAGCUUAUAAACCAGAGAAGGACACAGACUCCAUUUAUGCUCAAUAAUGAUGCCAGUGAAAGCUGCGGGACCCUGAUGUCAAUGCCACAAUGGAGAUCUAUGUCAUUGACUUUCUUGUAAAAAAAAUAGAACAUGUGUAUUUUUCGCAUCUCAUGCUAUCCAAAUACAAUUGUUUGUGUGGUUGAGCUCAUACUAUAUAUAAAAUUCUGUAGUGUUUUGAAGAUUUUUAUUUUUAAAUAAUCUGAGAAUCAUAGGAAGUUGUGAAGAUGGUACAGAGAGGUCUAUGUAGUCUUCACUCAGUUCCCCUCAAUGGUUACAUCAUAUCUAACUAUGGUUCAAUUUCAAACCAGGAAACUAACAUUUGAACAAUGUGUGUGUAGAGCCCUAACCCAUUUUAUCACUGGUGUAUUUUUGUUUAACCACCACCACAAUCAAGAUACAGAACUGUUCUGUUACACGCAGGCCUUUCUUGUGCUAUUCCUUUAGCCCCACACCUGUGUCCCUCUCCUUACCAUUCCUAAACCCUGGCAACUAGCAAGCUGUUCUCCAUCUCUGUACUUUGGUCAUUUCAAGAAUGUUAUGUAAAUGGAUGCAUAUAUUAUGUGAAUUUUUAACAUCUUUUUAAUCAGCAUAAUGCCUCUGUGUGUAGUUGGGCCACACUUAUUUAAUCCACUCUCUCAAUCUCUGUCUUUUAAUUGGUAUAUUCAGGCCAUUUACAUUUAAUGUAAGCUCACAUGAUGAAGCCUAAACCAAGGACUCAGCAGUCAGGAGAUGGGAUCUGUUAUCAAAGUCCUUACCAAAAACCCCUUGAGGGGGCUGAGGGAGGAAUAGUUUGCAGGCAUCAUCCAGGACUCCAUUAAGUCAGGAAAUGGAAUAGUUAGUUAAGAGAAGGACACUGCAAGGGAAAUGUAAGGGAAUGUGGCUUACCUUGGGAGGGAGUCCAUAGAGGUCAGGGUAGAAGUUUGUGAGGGCGCAGGGCAGGUGAGUUAAGAGAGAAGAGAAGCUGGAAGGUGAGGAGGUGACCAGACAUGCUUGCCUCAUCUCACUGCAGCUCCGUGAAGGAAGGGUGCAGCCUGGCGGGCCACAUCCGUCCCCAGCAGGAUGGAUGAGCCUGCGAAUGUGCAUUGGUAUCCCCAGGUUUGUAGGUAAUCUUCCAUCAGUCUGUACAAAAGCCUCAUGAGAUAUAUGGCUAAAUUGUUCCCACUUACAGAAAGAAGAGAGAUGGAAGGAAAUUCCUAAUUCAGAGUUAAGAGGAGGGAAAUCUGAGUGUCUAAAUUGAAGUUCUGCUGCUCAUUUUCUCAGUUUUCAGGGUGUCUAGGGAGAAGAGUCUUAGGAAUGUCCUCCAACAAAAGAGAAGGUCAAACAAUUAAAAAAAGGGGAAAACACAACUGCAGUGACAUCUGAAAAAGAGUCCAAGGCAGAUGUAAAAGAAGCGGAUAUCAGAAACAGAAAUAAACAGGAGUGACAAGUUCGAAGUAACUCUGUCCUGAGAGGAGAUGGCAGUCAUCUCUUUCCCAGGCCGUUGGAGGAUGCAGUAGGAACGUCGCAGUGGUUUAGGAACUGUCAGACACGUGGCCACGCUCUGAGUGUGUUCCUUGCACGUUCUCUAGCUGAAGCUGCUGCUGCUCGCAUAAAGCCGAGCUCAUGCAAGGUUGGAGUGUUGCGGAAAUCCGCGCUAAGCUCAGGAGAUCCAGCUCCGUUUCACGGCAGACCUUUUGAAAAUUGCCAGGAGGCAAAUGUAGGUCUGAGGCCAAUUUGGAGGGUUUGCUCUAAAAUAGUACGUUUAUUUAUACCUGAAUUUGAAAAUUGUCUUUGUGCAACGGUCGCUCGCUAUCAGCCCAGAGCUGGCUUUCCACCCAGGCCUCGAGAGUGUAAUCAGCUGUUUGGGUUUCUCAUUCUGUGGUGAGUUUGUGAGUCCUGCCACACCGGAGUGAAAGGAAAUAUUUCUUCUAAGAUGUUAAAUUCCCACCCAAGUAAGCCGAUCAUCUCCCCAAACCUAAGGAUGUGUUUCAUUUAUUUGAGAAUGAAUCAUUCCAUUUCCCCUGGGAACUCGGGGUCUCUUCCCCGGGGUGCCUGGCCUGGCAGCUGAGGGGCGGUUGGGUCGUGUGUCUUCCCGAAGACUCCCUAACUGACACCUUGCAGCCCUGCGUGCCUGUCCUCGCUGGGGAUGGAUGGUGGCACCCAGGACUUUAAUAUUUUUUAACUUACUGAGUCCAAUUACCCUGCGGGCAGUUGAAAAGAUCUCACAAAGUUUAUUUCCUCCCUCCCCCUCGAACCCUCAAGAAAAAAAAAGAAAUCAUACCGAUGUUUAAAAAGGAAGCAAACAACCUUUUCUGAUGUCCUUUGAACUCCUGCUGGAUUAAUGCCCCACUGGCCUGUUUGAUUCACCAUUCUCCUACGAGCCAGAAGCAGUGUGCCCACUGUCCAUGGCUGAGGUGUCCACCUGUUGUGAGGCCAGCAAUGGUGCCAAGUGCAGCAGUGUGGGCUGCCCCACAGUCAAGUGCACAUCCCACAAGCCUUUUGUAUUAAGACCUAGUAGCCUUUAGGCCUCCAGAACAAUGGCUGCAAUGUGGAUUCAUUUCCUACAGCUGCUGGAACAAAUUAUACAAACUGGAUGGUGUAAAACCACAGAAAUUUAUUCUUUCACAGUUCUAGAGGCCCAAAGCCCCAAAACAAGGUGUUUGCAGGGCCAUGUUGCCCACAAAGGCUCUGGGGAACGAUCCUUCCUGGCCUCUUCCAGCUUCUGGUACUUGCCGGCAAUCCUUGAUGUCCCUUGGCUUGUGGCUGCAUCACUGUGGUCUCCGUCUCCCUCUUAACACCGUCUUCUCCAUGUGCGGCUGUGUCUUCAUAUGGCACUCUCCUCUUGUCUCUGUGUCCAAAUUUCCCUCUUCUUAUAGGACACCAGUCAUUGGAUCUAGGGCUGACCCUAACCCAGAGGGACCUCAUCUUGAUUAUAUCUACAGAGACCCUAUUUCCAAAUAAGGUCACAUUCCGAGGUUCUGGGUGAUGUGAAUUUGGGGGGACACUAUCCAACCCAGGACCCAACACUCCGAAGCAGAGCGAGGGCCCAGCAGGCUCAGCCCCUCCGGCUGCAGGUCAUCGCCAAUGUGACGAGCACGGUGCAAGAAAGGACUCUGCCUUCUCGCCCCUGGCUGAGGCAUGAAACAAUUCUUGGUACUAAAUAUGGUACAGGUUCAUUACACAAACACUUAUCAAGAGCUUACUGUGUGUCUGCCGUUUUGCCAGGCGACACGGAGGAUACAGCAGUGCCUGAAAUGCAGUCCUUGGCCUCGGUGGAUUUUCACCAUUUCCCUUAAUGAACUUCAUUCCACUAGUAACAGUAAAACGAGCAGUGAUGAGAGGCAUUCUUUGACAGUUCUUCCAAUUACUAAGAUUUGCGGUUUGGUCACACGUAGCCACAAAAAAAUGCCCUAAAUUAAUAAUUUUUUUAAAGUAUCAAUUUGUAUCUUUUGAAAUAUAAAAUAUGUUUCUUUCGAAAUACUGGGCCCAUUGAAAUAGCAGUUCUGAGAAUGAAAGGGUGAAGCACAGUAAAAUUCUAAUUGGUCCUUUUGUCUCAAAGUAUUUGGAGUGAGAUGAUCGGGGAAACGAUAUUACUAAAUACAAUAUUUUGAAAUAUCAUGCCCCUUCAUUUCAUGCAAUAAAAAGGAAAGAUAAAGUUACAAAUCUGAAGUUAUAUCAGGAAAAAAAUAGUCUCUGAAAAUAGCAAAAGAAUCCCAGGGUAAUGGCCCACCAUUUGGGUAGUAUCCCAAAUUCUUGCAAAAAGACAGAAAGGAAACAUGUGUCAGUAGAAACUCUCCCAAUUAUUAAGCUUCUUAGCUCCUUAUUAGAUUGAAUAACUAGAAAACAAGUUAAUGUUAAUAGUAUCUUUUGAUUAGACCUGAAAUCUUGUGCAUUGCUCACAACGCUUGGCCAUUCAGAAUCAUGUUUGUAGAAGUGACUCAAAUUCAUGUAAAUCAUGUUCAUAUAAAUUUUGUCUCCAUCCCUCUUCUCCUUCCCAUCUUCUUUCCUUCUUUCCUUCCCCUCCCUUCUCUCCUUCUUCCUUUUCUCUUGAUUAUAUUUUUCUUCAAUUUGCCUUUUUUUUUUUCAGUUAUGCUUAGGCCUGCCCACAGCCUCUGCAGUCGUUAACAGUUCUUAGUCCCACAGGUAACUCAAGGCUAGGGAGAGUCACCUAGCCCAGCGCUUCUCAAAGUCAGUAUGCCCACAAGCGACCUGCACUGCCUUGUGCAAAUGCAGACCUUGUCAGUAGGCCUGGAGUGAGCCCGCGAGUCCACGUUCCUGACCAGCUCCUGGUGUGUGGGCCACACAGAGCGAGGAAGGAGAUCCCUCGGUUGAGAAUCCAACAGAUGACCAGCCGAGGGGACGAAAUGGACAGUUACCAGGCAAGGCCUUCAGAAACCUCUAGAUGCGGGACGCAGAGUGUUCUCGGGACUCACGCACAUACCAUCAGAUUGGUGGGCUCCAUGCUCGCACUUCCCGUUGCCGUUUUAACCAUUCUCUGAUCUUGUCCGGAUUUUGAACAUCUCUCAGAGGAGAGGGGCAUUUCCUGGGACCAACAAACAUCCAAAUUAACCAUUGCCAGACCACCCACCAUGAUUCAUGCUAAGGUCACUUAGCGAACAAAGAAGAAAGACUGAAAAAGCCAAUUCACUGCUGCCAAGGAGGGUGUGUGCAAGGAGCUGCACAGUAUGAACACCAAAGCUUCAACGUGAGUCAUCACUGAUUCACCACCUUCAUUUUCUUCUUGAUGCUUAAAUUGUGUUCUCAAAGGCCAGCUCCUCCGAAACAACAGAUCCAAACUGCUGGCAACAUUUACAGCCUGUGGCAUUUCAGUUGAAGUGACAGAGCCAUACUUAAACAUUGGAAAUUGAAAAUAAUCUCUUCAAAUGACAGAUCCUUGCCUUUUGUUACAACGACCAUGUCCUUUAUAUUUCUUUACUUUAGGACUUUCUCUUCAUGUUAACAAUCAAGUGAUUACCAUAUUAAGGUUGCUGCAGUGUGCAAAUGGUUAUAAAAUAAAUGCAAACAAUAAUAAAUAUUCUUAUUGCUCUUCUUGUUACUAUUCCAAUAGUGGUAAAUCUGGGCCAUUCUUGACUGCUAUACAAGAAACAAGGUGAGACGAAAAGGAAGUCCUCGACAGUUUGCCCUAUUUUGGCUGCUUACGAUCGGACGCUCACGAGGCCAAGAUCAUAGGCUGAAUUUUCUUAUGGGCGCUGUGACUACAUAUCCCAUAUUUUUCUGAGACAGUCAUAAUUCCAGAUAUUGUUUUGUUAUUUUCAUCCAUUCAAGUUGGUCAGGCCAUGAGUCUCCAUUUGUUAUUGGAUGUCUUAUCUAAAGAUAUGUACCCCUGGGCAAGGAGGUGUGUCACAUCUUUCAUCUAGAAGCCUCAUGAGAGAGUGUGGAUCAAAGCAAGUCUGUCCUCACCAGCUUCGGGGACAUCCUAGUGGCGCAUCCAUGGUGCCAUCUUCCCGUGUAAGAGAGAAGUUUGCAGUAAAGGUGUGGUGAGUGGGAUGUUUAAGUGGUGAAUAAGUGAAGUAAAAAACUACUUUCUUUGUGAAGUCUAGGUGCUGAAGUUUUUCAUAUUCCUUUAAAUAUUUUGAACUUUAUUCUGGGACACAGUUAAAUUACUUGGAAACAUUUGAUCCUUUUGGAUCCAGCCUUCAAGCUCUGUUAGGCAGGACCAGAACAGUGCCGAGUCCAGGGCCAAUUUGGCCUCACUUCUAAGACAAUACCCCCAAGUACUCAGUGCUCCGUGCAUCAUGACGUUUCUCCACUCUGCUGUGGGAAACAUGAACUAUUCCCAGCCCUGCAUGCGAGCUCUGAGAAUUUUUCCAUCUGAUCCUUUCUGGUGGUUUUUCCUCGGUUUUGCGUAGUUUCCUGACGUGCAUGUUCUGGUCAAUACUCAGCCGAAACCUUGAGAUGGAGCCUCUGCAGACUGCUCCUGUGCGUCUUUCUCCCCUCUGGUACUCCACCCUGAGAAUUCUAGCUGCCUCAGCCUCCCCGAAUUCUCAACUCUGUCUCCUCAACUAAGGAGACCACCGGGGGCUUGGGUUCCCCCUCCUUGCACUGUGGCCUGUCCCCCUCUGCAGGCAGAAAACUGGGGCAGCUGUGGGGCCCGCCCUGUUUCUUUCCCUUCUCACAAGGAUCACUGUCCUGCAGUGCUUAUUGUCCAAUGUCUGAAAGCC
Molecule: long non-coding RNA, 13345 nt
Filed under: Equus caballus (horse)
Lineage: Eukaryota; Metazoa; Chordata; Mammalia; Perissodactyla; Equidae
Description: lncRNA (ENSECAG00000044030.1)
Source: RNAcentral